GACGAACGCUGGCGGCACGCUUAACACAUGCAAGUCGAACGGAGGUAUUUUGGUUUACUGAGAUACCUUAGUGGCGGACGGGUGAGUAACACGUGAGCAACCUACCUUAGAGAGAGGGAUAGCUUCUGGAAACGGAUGGUAAUACCUCAUGACAUAACUGGAAGGCAUCUUUUGGUUAUCAAAGAUUUAUCACUCUGAGAUGGGCUCGCGUCUGAUUAGCUAGAUGGUGAGGUAACGGCCCACCAUGGCGACGAUCAGUAGCCGGACUGAGAGGUUGAACGGCCACAUUGGGACUGAGACACGGCCCAGACUCCUACGGGAGGCAGCAGUGGGGGAUAUUGCACAAUGGGGGAAACCCUGAUGCAGCGACGCCGCGUGAGUGAAGAAGUAUUUCGGUAUGUAAAGCUCUAUCAGCAGGGAAGAAAAUGACGGUACCUGACUAAGAAGCUCCGGCUAAAUACGUGCCAGCAGCCGCGGUAAUACGUAUGGAGCAAGCGUUAUCCGGAUUUACUGGGUGUAAAGGGAGCGUAGACGGUGUGCCAAGUCUGAUGUGAAAGGUGUGGGCUCAACCCGCAAACUGCAUUGGAAACUGGUGUACUUGAGUGUCGGAGAGGUAAGUGGAAUUCCUAGUGUAGCGGUGAAAUGCGUAGAUAUUAGGAGGAACACCAGCGGCGAAGGCGGCUUACUGGACGAUAACUGACGUUGAGGCUCGAAAGCGUGGGGAGCAAACA
This 731-nucleotide ribosomal RNA is filed under the name uncultured bacterium. Its description in RNAcentral is "bacterial SSU rRNA". It matches the Rfam family "Bacterial small subunit ribosomal RNA", at positions 28 to 774 of the family's 1533-position model. The record is from RNAcentral.